Molecule: transfer RNA, 65 nt
Filed under: Limenitis sulpitia
Lineage: Eukaryota; Metazoa; Arthropoda; Insecta; Lepidoptera; Nymphalidae
Description: tRNA-Phe
Source: RNAcentral
AUUUAAAUAGCUUAAUUAAGAGUAUAAUAUUGAAGAUAUUAGGGUGAUUAUAUAAUCUUUAAAUA